AGAGAUGUCACCACCCACAAGGGGACCUCCCCA
Molecule: unclassified non-coding RNA, 33 nt
Filed under: Mus musculus (house mouse)
Lineage: Eukaryota; Metazoa; Chordata; Mammalia; Rodentia; Muridae
Description: oocyte_clustered_small_RNA6052
Source: RNAcentral